UAGAUGAAUUUGGUGCUUGCACCAAAUGAAACUAGAUACAAGCGAGCGGCGGACGGGUGAGUAACACGUGGGUAACCUGCCCAAGAGACUGGGAUAACACCUGGAAACAGAUGCUAAUACCGGAUAACAACACUAGACGCAUGUCUAGAGUUUAAAAGAUGGUUCUGCUAUCACUCUUGGAUGGACCUGCGGUGCAUUAGCUAGUUGGUAAGGUAACGGCUUACCAAGGCAAUGAUGCAUAGCCGAGUUGAGAGACUGAUCGGCCACAUUGGGACUGAGACACGGCCCCAACUCCUACGGGAGGCAGCAGUAGGGAAUCUUCCACAAUGGACGCAAGUCUGAUGGAGCAACGCCGCGUGAGUGAAGAAGGGUUUCGGCUCGUAAAGCUCUGUUGGUAGUGAAGAAAGAUAGAGGUAGUAACUGGCCUUUAUUUGACGGUAAUUACUUAGAAAGUCACGGCUAACUACGUGCCAGCAGCCGCGGUAAUACGUAGGUGGCAAGCGUUGUCCGGAUUUAUUGGGCGUAAAGCGAGUGCAGGCGGUUCAAUAAGUCUGAUGUGAAAGCCUUCGGCUCAACCGGAGAAUUGCAUCAGAAACUGUUGAACUUGAGUGCAGAAGAGGAGAGUGGAACUCCAUGUGUAGCGGUGGAAUGCGUAGAUAUAUGGAAGAACACCAGUGGCGAAGGCGG
Molecule: ribosomal RNA, 687 nt
Filed under: uncultured Bacilli bacterium
Lineage: Bacteria; Bacillati; Bacillota; Bacilli
Description: bacterial SSU rRNA
Rfam family: Bacterial small subunit ribosomal RNA
Source: RNAcentral